GGCCAGCCUGAACGCCGUGGGCAGUCGUUAGGCUGACUUACAGACGCACGAGUUCUGCGACGCGUCCGUCGGAUAACAGGUUCGGCAAGACGACCUUGCUUCAUACUCAUCUCAACUCCAGCUCAGCUUCGGACGUGGCGGUAACCUAACACUGGGUUGUCAAAAGGCAGCCAGGCAGAAGUCGACGAAGCUUUCGAUCGGUUCAUGCGCUGUGGGUCUCAGUGUGAAUGAUUGUAGGCUUCUCUACAUUAUUGUGCAAAUUCAGAGGAGUGUUAUUCGAGAGUUUUUGUUUGUAGGGAAGAGGUUUCCGAUCCAUGGCGGCGACAGACAUACCUCUUGCACUAGAGCAGCAGCAGAAGAAGAAGAAGCCAGCGCCUGGGCGAGGCGGUGUUACGGCGACACUCAGCGAGGAUGAAGCGCUAUUGCGUUGUAUUGGGGAGAUUGUGGAUGCGAUGGUUCAGGGGUGCCGGAAAGGGGAGAGUGUGGACUUGAAUGCGCUCAAAUCGGAAGCGUGCAAACGUUACGGUCUUUCUCGGGCUCCCAAGCUGGUGGAGCUGAUUGCUGCGUUGCCUGAGUCCGAGAGGGAGAUGGUCUUGCCUAGGUGCUAUGAAGCUAUGAAUCGUAUGACUUGCGUCCCGUCGUCGAAUUUUCCUCCUUUCCAAUAGAGGAAUUGCAAAGCAGAGUUGCUUAGGGUUCAGAUUAUUUCGGUUCACCUGGUGGUAUCGUGUUUACGUUGGCAAUUUUGUUCGAUUUUAGGUUGCGAGCAAAGCCAGUGAGAACUGCGUCAGGAAUUGCGGUGUUAGCUGUGAUAUCGAAGCCGCACCGAUGCCCUCACAUUGCAACGACGGGAAAUAUUUUUGUUUAGUGCCCUGGAGGAUCGGAUUCUGAUUUUGAGUAUAGUACUCAAUUAUAUACUGGUUACGGACCAACUAGUAUGCGAGCAAUUAGGGCUAGGUAUAAUCCUUAUGUUCAAGCUCGCGGCCGGAUCGACCUGCUGAAGAGGCUUGGUCAGAGUGUAGAUAAGGUGGAGUUUAUCUUGAUGGGAGGAACGUUUAUGUCUGCCCGCUGUCUGGGACUAUUUUAUUCGCAAUUUACACUACGCUCUAUCUGGGCACACCUCGCAUGACGUGGACGAAGCUGUACCUUACUCAGAACAUGGAAACGUUAAAUGCAUCGGCCUCACUAUUGAAACGAGACCUGAUUACUGCAUUGGUUCACAUUUGCGUCAGAUGUUGACGUAUGGCUGCACCCGCCCAGAAAUUGGUGUACAAAACACCUACGAAGAUGUGGCACGGGAUACCAAUAGGGGACACACAGUUGCCACUGUUGAAGAUUGUUUCCGCCUUGCUAAAGAUGCAGGUUUUAAGAUUGUUGCAAACAUGAUGCCAAAUCUUCCCAAUGUGGAUAUGGAGAGAGAUAUGGAAAGCUUCAGGGAAUUUUUUGAGAAUCCUGCAUUUCGCACGGAUGGUCUUAAGUUGUACCUCACGGUACCGUAAUUAUCCACCAGAACGGUUGGUAGACUUGGUAGCACGAGUGCUGGCCCUGGUACCACCAUGGACUCGUGUAUAUCGGAUUCAAAGAGACAUUCCUAUGCCGCUUGUCACUUCACGUGUAGAAAAAGGUAAUUUGCGGGAGUUAUCAUUAGCACGCAUGGACGAUCUAGGAUUGAAGUGUCAAGAUGUGCGAACCCUAGAGGUAGGAAUUCAGGUCAAUAUUCUUAGCACUCAUGAAUUUUCCACUGCCUUCACGUAGCAGCACUGCAUUGGACAAAGUGAUGCAGGAUUUCUGAUUCCGUGAAGCACAAAUGGCCGGGGAAACCAACACGUUUGGUGCGACAGGACAUACAUCAUAAGAUCAAAUCUAAGGAAGUCGAGCUCGUCCGACGAGAUUAUGUUGCGAAUGAAGGUUGGGAGACGUUUCUAUCAUACGAAGACACUCGCCAGGAUAUCUUAGUAGGAUUGCUACGACUUCGCUAAUGUGGACGCAAUACCACGUGCCCUGAGCUGAUGGAAAGGUGUUCUGUGGUGCGAGAGCUUCAUGUUUAUGGAACUGCUGUCCCUGUCCAUGGUCGAGAAACUGACAAGCUGCAACAUCAGGAUUAUGGUUCGCUGCUGACGGAAGAAGCCGAGAGGAUCUCUUUCACAGAGAAUUGGUCAACGAAGUUGGCAGUUAUUUCUGGUGUUGGUACUCGCCAUUACUACAGAAAGCUUAGAUGUGAGUUGGAGGGUCCAUACGUGGUUAGAGAGUGCCAUCUUUCCACCUUUAUUACCAUUGCAGUAUUGAAGACCAAUGAGCCCAGAAGAUUACUGUCGAAUUUGAUGUAAGACCUUUCAGCGGGAUCUAGUAACACCCACUGAUCUUAUAACCUUAGAUAGCCAAUGGUGACCAUUGUUACACGCAAGUCUACCACUCUACUUUUAAUGGAGGUUUGUGUCGUCGUAAAUAAGUUACACCUUAAUUAUCAUCCUUGAAAACAUCCUUGAAAA
Molecule: non-coding RNA, 2486 nt
Organism: Physcomitrium patens
Lineage: Eukaryota; Viridiplantae; Streptophyta; Bryopsida; Funariales; Funariaceae
Source: RefSeq, a predicted model, not a curated record